UAUUACCUACGGGAGGCAGCAGUGGGGAAUAUUGGGCAAUGGAGGAAACUCUGACCCAGCAAUGCCGCGUGAAUGAAGAAGGUCUUCGGAUUGUAAAGUUCUUUAGUCAGGGAAGAAGUCAAUGACGGUACCUGAAGAAUAAGCUCCGGCUAACUACGUGCCAGCAGCCGCGGUAAUACGUAGGGAGCAAGCGUUGUUCGGAAUGACUGGGCGUAAAGGGGGCGUGGGCGGUUGUACAAGUUAGAAGGGAAAUACCCAGGGCUUAACUCGGGGGCUGCUUCUAAAACUGUAUGAUUUGAGUGCAG
This 305-nucleotide ribosomal RNA is filed under the name uncultured bacterium. RNAcentral's name for it is "bacterial SSU rRNA". It matches the Rfam family "Bacterial small subunit ribosomal RNA", at positions 333 to 651 of the family's 1533-position model. The record is from RNAcentral.